RNAcentral lists this small nucleolar RNA (67 nucleotides) under Notamacropus eugenii (tammar wallaby). Lineage: Eukaryota; Metazoa; Chordata; Mammalia; Diprotodontia; Macropodidae. The record is from RNAcentral.
UACAGAUGAAGAAAUUAAUGUCGAGACUGGUGAAAUGAUUUUCUCAAGCUCACACAGAAUAACACUG